Molecule: ribosomal RNA, 960 nt
Filed under: Brevibacillus parabrevis
Lineage: Bacteria; Bacillati; Bacillota; Bacilli; Caryophanales; Paenibacillaceae
Description: bacterial SSU rRNA
Rfam family: Bacterial small subunit ribosomal RNA
Source: RNAcentral
AGGUGGGCAAGCGUUGUUUAUUGAUUGAUUUAGAGUAAAGCGCCGGGCAGGCGGCUAUGUCGUUAUAGUUGUGGAGGCCCCGCCCCUCAAUCCUCCGUUUCGCAUCGCGCAGGUUAGUAGUUUUGAUUGGAGAAAGAGGAAAGUCGUUAUUUCAUCGCGUAGAUAGAAAUGUAGUAGAGUAGAGGAGGGACGCCACUGGCGGGUGUAUGUUUUUUUUUUUGUAACUGACAUGAGAGCAGAAAGAGUGGGGAGCAAACAAAAAUAGAUUACUUCGUAGUCUAUCCCGUAAACAAUAAGUGUUAGGUGGAUGGGGUGUCAAUUCCCUCAUCAGCUACAGCAAUAACAAUAAGCACCUCCGCCUGGGGAGUAGCGCUCGCAAGAAUGAAACUCAAAGGAAGGGGCGGCGCGCCCGCACCACGAGGUGGAGCAUGUAUUUUUAUUAGAAGCAACGAGAAGAACCUUCCCAGGUAUUGACAUCCCGCCAACCGAUCUGGAGACAGACCUUCCCUUCGGGGCAGCGGUGACAGCUGGGGCAUGGUCGUCGUCAGUUGGGGUCGUGAGGUGUAAGGUUAAGUCCCGCAACGAGCCCAACCCUUACUUUUCCUUUCCAGCAUUCAGUUGGGCACUCUAGAGAGACUGCCGUCGACAAGACGGAGGAAGGGGGGGAGGAAGUCAAUUCAUCAUGCCCCUUAUGGCCUGGCCUACACACGUCAUACAAUGGUUGGUACAACGGGAUGCUACCUCGGGAGAGGGAACCAAUAUCAGAAAACCAAUCUUAGUUCGGAUUUUAGUAUGCAACUCGCCUGCAUGAAGUGGGAAUCGUUAGUAAUCGCGGAUCAGCAUGCCGCGGUGAAUACGUUCCCGGGCCUUGUACACACCGCCCGUCACACCACGGGAGUUUGCACCACCCGAAGUCGGUGAGGUAACCGCAAGGAGGCAGCCGCCGAAGGUGGGUGACGG